GGAAGAAGAAGGAGAAGAAGAAGAGGAAGAGGAAGAAGAA
This 40-nucleotide small RNA is filed under the name Arabidopsis thaliana (thale cress). RNAcentral describes it as "ATSL123410". Lineage: Eukaryota; Viridiplantae; Streptophyta; Magnoliopsida; Brassicales; Brassicaceae. The record is from RNAcentral.